This 253-nucleotide ribosomal RNA is filed under the name uncultured bacterium. Its description in RNAcentral is "partial 16S ribosomal RNA". It matches the Rfam family "Bacterial small subunit ribosomal RNA", at positions 524 to 776 of the family's 1533-position model. RNAcentral also lists the same sequence under 1 other name. The record is from RNAcentral.
UACGUAGGGGGCGAGCGUUGUCCGGAGUUACUGGGCGUAAAGCGCACGCAGGCGGUCUGUGAAGUUUGGAGUGACAGUUGGUGGCUCAACCACCAAAGUGCUUUGAAAACUGAUAGACUUGAGGGCUUCAGAGGGACACGGAAUUCCGGGUGGAGUGGUGAAAUGCGUAGAGAUCCGGAGGAACACCAAAGGCGAAGGCAGUGUCCUGGGGAGUACCUGACGCUCAGGUGCGAAAGCCAGGGGAGCGAACGGG